AGCUAACUGCAGCGGCAGUAUCGUAGCCAAUGAGGUUAGUCCGAGGUAUGAUUACUGCUAACUGAAACUCUUACAGCUACAUGGUUUCAUGCCUACUGCCUGGAUUACCCCUUUUGGU
RNAcentral lists this small nuclear RNA (118 nucleotides) under Crocodylus porosus (Australian saltwater crocodile). Its description in RNAcentral is "U4 spliceosomal RNA (ENSCPRG00005014384.1)". It matches the Rfam family "U4 spliceosomal RNA". Rfam says of the family: U4 small nuclear RNA (U4 snRNA) is a component of the major U2-dependent spliceosome. The record is from RNAcentral. Lineage: Eukaryota; Metazoa; Chordata; Crocodylia; Crocodylidae.